RNAcentral lists this ribosomal RNA (95 nucleotides) under uncultured bacterium. RNAcentral describes it as "partial 16S ribosomal RNA". The record is from RNAcentral.
CCCGCCCGUCACAUCACGAAAGUGGGUUGUACUANAAGCGCCAGAGCUAACCCGCAAGGGAGGCAUGUGUAACGGUAUGAUCCAUGAUUGGGGUG